RNAcentral lists this long non-coding RNA (421 nucleotides) under Marmota monax (woodchuck). The record is from RNAcentral. Lineage: Eukaryota; Metazoa; Chordata; Mammalia; Rodentia; Sciuridae.
AUGAUGUUGUGAGCAUUCUAUUACAUAUUUUUUUGAUAUCCAUUUGUUCACAUUUACCUAAAUUCUCACAUUUAAUAUUCAGAAGAGUCUCCUGAAGGACAGGCUAUUUCGACCAUUUUUGAACUUAAUCAGCAAUAAAAAAUCUAAGGUCAACAGCAGAUAUUUUAAAAUUUGUUAUUGGCCUAGGAGUACCAGUAAUUUCUCAAGUAUACUUUAAUGAAGGGAAAAAAAAUGGGUUCUUCAUGUUCCACCUAAUUGUACAAUACUGUGUCUGAGUCUGAAUCUAGAAGCUGAAUCAAGAUGAAUAGAACCAUUACAGCGAAACAUUUCUUUUCUGUCACCAAUAUUUCCAUCUGUGUGAUGAUAGCUGAAGAGUAUACUUACUUGGCCUUUAUCUACCAAUAUUAUAGUUUGAAUUUUC